CAGCAGCCGCGGGAAUACGUAGGGUGCAAGCGUUAAUCGGAAUUACUGGGCGUAAAGCGUGCGCAGGCGGUUCGCUAAGACAGAUGUGAAAUCCCCGGGCUUAACCUGGGAACUGCAUUUGUGACUGGCGGGCUAGAGUAUGGCAGAGGGGGGUAGAAUUCCACGUGUAGCAGUGAAAUGCGUAGAGAUGUGGAGGAAUACCGAUGGCGAAGGCAGCCCCCUGGGCCAAUACUGACGCUCAUGCACGAAAGCGUGGGGAGCAAACAGGAUUAGAUACCCGAGUAGUCCCUGUCUCUUAUAC
This 301-nucleotide ribosomal RNA is filed under the name uncultured bacterium. RNAcentral describes it as "partial 16S ribosomal RNA". It matches the Rfam family "Bacterial small subunit ribosomal RNA", at positions 509 to 807 of the family's 1533-position model. The record is from RNAcentral.